RNAcentral lists this ribosomal RNA (497 nucleotides) under uncultured bacterium. RNAcentral's name for it is "partial 16S ribosomal RNA". It matches the Rfam family "Bacterial small subunit ribosomal RNA", at positions 28 to 507 of the family's 1533-position model. The record is from RNAcentral.
GAUGAACGCUGGCGGCGUGCCUAAUACAUGCAAGUCGAGCGAACAGACGAGGAGCUUGCUCCUCUGACGUUAGCGGCGGACGGGUGAGUAACACGUGGAUAACCUACCUAUAAGACUGGGAUAACUUCGGGAAACCGGCGCUUAUACCGGAUAAUAUAUUGAACCGCAUGGUUCAAUAGUGAAAGACGGUUUUGCUGUCACUUAUAGAUGGAUCCGCGCCGCAUUAGCUAGUUGGUAAGGUAACGGCUUACCAAGGCAACGAUGCGUAGCCGACCUGAGAGGGUGAUCGGCCACACGGGAACUGAGACACGGUCCAGACUCCUACGGGAGGCAGCGGUAGGGAAUCUUCCGCAAUGGGCGAAAGCCUGACGGAGCAACGCCGCGUGAGUGAUGAAGGUCUUCGGAUCUUAAAACUCUGUUAUUAGGGAAGAACAAAUGUGUAAGUAACUAUGCACGUCUUGACGGUACCUAGUCAGAAAGCCACGGCUAACUACGUG